CAAGCAACCUAGCAACUAGCUCCACUCUCCGGAAGUGGUUACUCAGAUUUCCGGCAACAAGGCGCACCGCCAAGCGGAAAUCCCGCCUACAGCAAACAGACAGGACCUUCUGUCCAACAGGGGUCCAAACCUUCUGGAAGGGUGGGAAAGACUUUGGCCGACUAGGAUCCCAUAAGACUGACAGAUGAGCUUUGCACUUCCUUACUUGGCACUAGCAGAAGUAGAGCACAACUGAUGCUGAGGUGGGACCCUCUGACAUUACAAGAAACACUCUGCAGGGAUGUGGGGACAGGAGAGAUGGCACUGAUGAACAGAUGACUCCAAUUCCUCUCAAUGCUUCCUUCUCUCA
Mauremys reevesii (Reeves's turtle) is the source of this 349-nucleotide long non-coding RNA. RefSeq lists it as uncharacterized. The record is from RefSeq and is a predicted model, not a curated record. The transcript is spliced from 3 exons. Lineage: Eukaryota; Metazoa; Chordata; Testudines; Geoemydidae.